GGUGAUUUUAAUGAGGUACUUCACGGUUGGGAGAAGGAAGGAGGGGUCCCUCGUAGCCAAGGAUGUAUGGAUCGUUUCAAAUCAGCGCUUGAAGAGUGCGAACUGGAUGAUCUCGGUUUUAUAGGAGAUGCAUUUACGUGGAGAACUGACUAUGUGAAAGAGCGCCUUGACAGGGCCGUGGCUACCCAAGCAUGGCGUGACCGGUUCACUGCUUACAAGGUGACCAACGGUGAUCCACACCAUUCAGAUCACAGACCGGUCAUAAUUGACACGGCCGGAGCAACAGCAGUCUGGAGAGAGGCCACACAAAAUCGUAUGCCCAGGUUCGAAGCAAGAUGGCUCGAGGAAGAAGGGUGUAAGGAGAUAGUGAAGAAUGCUUGGGAGCGGGAGAAGAUUGUUGAAGAGCAGGAAGUGGCGGGGGCUGCGAAGGGGGUCCUGAAGGAAGUUUUUGACUGGAGUAAGAAUGUACUGGGUGACUUGGAGAAAAGGAUUCACAGACUGAAGAAAGAACUAGAGGCUGAGAGAAGGAAAAGCAUCGGUGAUGAGCAGGUCCGGAGGGAGCACAUGCUGAGAUUCAAGCUAAGCCGGUUGGAGGAUCAAUUAGAAACCUAUUGGAAACAACGGGCACAUGUGAACUAG
This 639-nucleotide ribosomal RNA is filed under the name Triticum aestivum (bread wheat). RNAcentral describes it as "partial small subunit ribosomal RNA". The record is from RNAcentral. Lineage: Eukaryota; Viridiplantae; Streptophyta; Magnoliopsida; Poales; Poaceae.